GCCCGGGUGCCGGAACCGGCAGACGGAGGGGCCUUAAAAGCCCUGGCCCGAUGAGGGCGUGUGGGUUCGACUCCCACCCCGGGCACCG
RNAcentral lists this transfer RNA (88 nucleotides) under Actinomycetota bacterium. Its description in RNAcentral is "Actinobacteria bacterium (sediment metagenome) tRNA-Leu". It matches the Rfam family "tRNA". From Rfam's summary of the family: Transfer RNA (tRNA) molecules are approximately 80 nucleotides in length. The record is from RNAcentral. Lineage: Bacteria; Bacillati; Actinomycetota.